Molecule: long non-coding RNA, 415 nt
Organism: Cylas formicarius (sweet potato weevil)
Lineage: Eukaryota; Metazoa; Arthropoda; Insecta; Coleoptera; Brentidae
Exons: 4
Source: RefSeq, a predicted model, not a curated record
AUCCGGGAUCAGACGGGUUCUGGCGGGCCACCCGGAGCGUACGACGCGGUGGUGCGAAGUUGUGCGCGUCUGGUGUCUCGUUUCUUAGUUGAUUUUUGGUUUAUUUUAUCAGUUUUACCCUCAGGCAUCGAUUUGACAAAGACCAAGAUGCAGAAUAAACACCGCUAAGACCGCAGAUUCCUGCUGCACCAGGAGCGUGGCCCCAGUUUAUCAGACCAUAAAGCAAGUGAGAGCUACUAAGAACGUGAUACCCUGUGCCCGCGAUGACGGACUCGUCUGAGAAAAAAGCUCACCGACGUCGCGACGAGUGGGUUUGAAGCGCCAACGGUGGAGUAAGUGCCUGACAGUGGCGCUGCGGACGGUAAGCACACGUGACCGUUGGGAAGUAUUUCUGCACUUUACUUUACUUUGAACC